RNAcentral lists this long non-coding RNA (381 nucleotides) under Ananas comosus (pineapple). RNAcentral describes it as "long non-coding RNA (ACOM_LNC007255)". The record is from RNAcentral. Lineage: Eukaryota; Viridiplantae; Streptophyta; Magnoliopsida; Poales; Bromeliaceae.
GUUAGUGUCCUUUAUUCCUGGGGCUUAUUGGACCAUUCUAACUCCCUGUAAAUAUGUGGAGUACGACCCCUGUGAGCUCUUUUCACCUCUUCUUCACAGUGAAGGCCAGAAUUGCAUUCCAACCCCUCUAAUUACUCCAAAUUCCACAAAUUGAAGCUUAAGGACUGCAGUUUAGCAUAAUUCCAGCAGCGACCUUCGGCGUUUUGGCUCGUGUGCGACGUAGGAAGGUCGGAUUGCUGUAAAACUUGGUUUGGUGGUUAACUGACUUUUGGGAGAUUCCGUGGAGUCCAUUUUUACUGCAUUUGGUUGAGGUUAGUUUGGUCUAAUUACUAUUCUUCUAGACCGCUGCAGUUUUGGACCUGAAUUUGAGCUUUCUUUGGU